This 1391-nucleotide long non-coding RNA is filed under the name Gallus gallus (chicken). RNAcentral describes it as "lncRNA (ENSGALG00010011557.1)". Lineage: Eukaryota; Metazoa; Chordata; Aves; Galliformes; Phasianidae. The record is from RNAcentral.
AGGAAGGAAGACAAGCACUGGGAUUACACCGGGCAGCUCUGCCUUUGGGAGCCAAUACCCUCAUUAAUUAAUUAAGGGAUCAUCUCUGCUUCCAGGGAACAGGAGGCUGCCGAGACUUGAUUAGUCACAAGAAUGUUUAAUCCCCACCCCAAGCUGCUGGCUGCCUCUCCCAGAGGUGCCAGGGAUGAUUCCUGAAUACACAGAGCUGGGGGAUGAGGGCAGCUUACAUCCCACACCCCAAACGUCCCAUCCCACAUAAGGUAUCCCGCGUCCCACAUCCCCAUCCCGCAUCGUGUCCUGUAUCCUGCAUGCCACAAGCUGCAUCCCAUAUCCCAAAUCCUGUAUCCUGCACUCCACAUCCCAAUCCUGCAUCCUGCAACCCACAGCCUGCAUCCCAUGCCUGCAUCCCAUACCCUGCGUCCCAUUCCUACAUCCCAUUCCUCCACCCCGCAUCAUGCAUCCCCCAGGCUGCAUCCCACAUCUUGCAUCCCAUAUCCUGUCUUCCAGCUUGUAUCGCAAUCCUGCAUCAUGUCCUGCAUUCCAUAUCCCACAGCCUGUAUCCCAUACCCUGCAUCCCAUUCUUGCACGCUGCAUCCUGCAGGCCAUACUCUUCAUCCUCUAUCCUGCACCCUGUUUUUAAAUCCCAACUCUGCAUCCCAGUCCUUCAUCUCACAUCCGCGUGCUGCAUCAAGUCUUGUAUCCUCCAUCCCACAAGCUGCAUCCUUUACCCUGCCUCCCAUAUCCCAAAUCCCACAUCUUGCAACCCACAUCCCAACCCUGCAUCCUACUCCUGCACCAUGUUCUGUAUCCCACAUCCCAUUCCUGCAUCCCAUAUUCUGAAUCCCACAUCCCAGUCCUGCAUCUCACAUCUCAGUCCUGCUUCAUGUCCUGUAUCCCGCAUCCAGCACCCUACAUCCCAUAGCCCGCAUCCCACACCCCAUUCCUGCAUCCCAUUCCCAUAUUGUGUUCAGCAUUCUGCAUCCCAUUCCCACAUCCCAUUCCUGCAUCCCAUUCCCACAUCAUGUUUAGCAUCCCACUUCCCAUUCCCAUAUCCCAUUCCUGCAUCCCAUUCCCACAUCACGUUCAGCAUCCUGCAUCCCAUUCCCACUUCCCAUUCCCACAUCCCAUUCCUGCAUCCCGUUCCCACAUUGUGCUCAGAAUCCCACAUCCCAUUCCCUCAUCCUAUUCCUGCAUCCCAUUCUCACAUCCCUUUCCUGCAUCCCAAUCCUGCAUCAUGUUCAGCAUCCCAUAACCCUUUCCUGCAUCCCAAUCCCACAUCGUUUAGCAUCCUGCAUCCCAUUCCCACAUCCCAUUCCUGCAUCCCAAUCCUUCAUUGUGUUCACCAUCCCACAUCCCAUUCCCACAUCCCAUUCCUGCAUCCCAUUCCCACA